RNAcentral lists this ribosomal RNA (111 nucleotides) under Musa acuminata subsp. malaccensis (wild Malaysian banana). Lineage: Eukaryota; Viridiplantae; Streptophyta; Magnoliopsida; Zingiberales; Musaceae. The record is from RNAcentral.
GGGUUCAAUCAUACUAGCACUGGAUCCUAUCAGAACUCUGAAGUUAAGGGUUCUUGGGCUAGAGUAUUCUUAGGAUGGGUGACCCCUUGGGAAAUUCUCGUGUUGCACACC